GAUGAAGAACGUAGCGAAAUGCGAUAAGUAGUGUGAAUUGCAGAAUUCCGUGAGUCAUCGAAUCUUUGAACGCACAUUGCGCCCUCUGGUAUUCCGGAGGGCAUGCCUGUUCGAGCGUCAUUAUCACCCCUCAAGCCCGGCUUGUUGUUGGAUGCAGCGCUUAUCCCGCUCCUCCCAAAGAUAAUGACGGCGUCUGCGACGACUCCUGUACACUGAGCUUUCGGGCACGUACACGGCUAGAAGUCCAGACCCGGUCGCCGUCCCCCCCGCGGGGACACCCAUUACCACAAGGUUGACCUCGGAUCAGGUAGGAAUACCCGCUGAACUUAAGCAUAUCAAUAAGCGGAGGA
Molecule: unclassified non-coding RNA, 350 nt
Filed under: soil metagenome
Description: partial contains 5.8S ribosomal RNA, internal transcribed spacer 2, and large subunit ribosomal RNA
Rfam family: 5.8S ribosomal RNA (bases 1-120)
Source: RNAcentral